RNAcentral lists this ribosomal RNA (609 nucleotides) under Meyerozyma guilliermondii. RNAcentral's name for it is "eukaryotic LSU rRNA". The stretch from base 228 to 381 matches the Rfam family "5.8S ribosomal RNA". Lineage: Eukaryota; Fungi; Ascomycota; Pichiomycetes; Serinales; Debaryomycetaceae. The record is from RNAcentral.
UUCUGGAAAUUUAAAGCGUAACAAGGUUUCCGUAGGUGAACCUGCGGAAGGAUCAUUACAGUAUUCUUUUGCCAGCGCUUAACUGCGCGGCGAAAAACCUUACACACAGUGUCUUUUUGAUACAGAACUCUUGCUUUGGUUUGGCCUAGAGAUAGGUUGGGCCAGAGGUUUAACAAAACACAAUUUAAUUAUUUUUACAGUUAGUCAAAUUUUGAAUUAAUCUUCAAAACUUUCAACAACGGAUCUCUUGGUUCUCGCAUCGAUGAAGAACGCAGCGAAAUGCGAUAAGUAAUAUGAAUUGCAGAUUUUCGUGAAUCAUCGAAUCUUUGAACGCACAUUGCGCCCUCUGGUAUUCCAGAGGGCAUGCCUGUUUGAGCGUCAUUUCUCUCUCAAACCCCCGGGUUUGGUAUUGAGUGAUACUCUUAGUCGGACUAGGCGUUUGCUUGAAAAGUAUUGGCAUGGGUAGUACUAGAUAGUGCUGUCGACCUCUCAAUGUAUUAGGUUUAUCCAACUCGUUGAAUGGUGUGGCGGGAUAUUUCUGGUAUUGUUGGCCCGGCCUUACAACAACCAAACAAGUUGACCUCAAAUACAGGUAGAAGCCCAGGCCCA